AGCAGAAGGUUUUAUCCUCACUUGAGUAGAUUUUAAGAAAUUCAUUAAGGAACGAGGGUAACGUUUCUUUUGGCGUUUAGUGUAUUUCUAGUUUAGAUUU
Haliotis rubra (blacklip abalone) is the source of this 100-nucleotide long non-coding RNA. RefSeq lists it as uncharacterized. The record is from RefSeq and is a predicted model, not a curated record. Lineage: Eukaryota; Metazoa; Mollusca; Gastropoda; Lepetellida; Haliotidae. The transcript is spliced from 3 exons.